UUCUUCUUUGGCAAGUUUAUCUUUUUUCAGCCUCGUGCUAUGCUCAAAUUGUGGGUUGGGUUAUUUGCACCCGUCUCUCUCCCUCGUCCCCGUCGUUCUCCAUUACCGGUCGCUCUCCAUCCCGAUCUAGAUCCCACCGCGCCCAGCCCUCUCCCCUGCCCCUCCACGGCGAUCCACCUCUCCUUUCCCCGGCGAGCCGCCCCGCUCCAACCCUCUCCCACCCCCAUCGCGUUGCUCCCCAAUGGGCUCCCUCCACCUUGCACAAAUACCAGCAAGAUCCGCUGGGUCGAUGGGGCACGGGCGAUAUCGUCAUCAACUGCCGCCCCAUGGUGCCUCGUGCGUGGUGGGUCAUCUACUUCAUCGAGCACAACAUUCUAUUGUAAUGGCCGCUGCUCACAGAGGUCACUCGCCGGGGAUGGAUCCAUGGGGUAGCGCAUAGGCCUCUGAACCUUCCCCAUGGUGCCUUGCCAACGUGGUCCUCGCCUGCCACCUCCAUCGAGAUCUGCGAGGCAGCAGCCGGGGAGCGCAGGAUCCGCAACUCAGCAUCACCUAAACGCUACGCCGAGCCGCCCCUCGCCCCCCCCCCCCCCCCCCCCCCCCCCCCCCCCCCCCCCCCAUGGUCACGCGCUCCGGUUGGAUCCGGCAGUGGGUUCGCUCCCGCUGAUCCCUCAUGCCCGUCCUAGAAGACGACGGAUAAAGAAGGAAGGGGCUGGACGCUGAUGCCUCAUGAUUCUAGUAUGUAUGUAUGUAAUUCAUUCUUAUCCCCAAGUACUGCUAUUCAUAGUAAGAGAUGGAUGAAAAUAUAAACACAGGCUAACAUAGUAAAUGAAAACCUGGAUGUACUAUUAUUCUAAAGUUCUGUAAUACUUGUUGCCUAUUCUCUUUUAAAUCAAUCUUUCCCUUUUGUCAUUAAAGAAAAUGUUAGCUCAAUCUUUCACUAUUCAGUGGUAUGUUGCAGAAUAACAUUUGUGUUUCAAGUGCCAUAAUUCGUUUCAUUAUUUUGAAACUCACCAAAUUUCUUUUACUACAAGCUGCAAGAGGUUAGGGGAGAGGCAUGCGGUGGUGGUGCACAAGCACAAGCACAUGUUGCAGAUGAUAGUGUUUUUAGAGACAAAGGUGACUGCUGAUGGGACGUCUCACAGAUGAUGCUAUCAAUGGGUUAUGGUGAUGCACUUUUUUUUGGAAGUCGUAUGCUCUAAACUGGAGUGAUUCUAAAGAAGCAAGCAACUACUCCCUCCGUUCCUAAAUAAUUUUCUUUCUAGACAUUUCAAAUGGCUACCACAUACAGAUAUAUGUAGACAUAUUUUAAAGUGUAGAUUCACUCAUUUUGCUCUGUAUGUAGUCUUUUGUUUAAAUAUCUAGAAAGACAAAUAUUUAGGAACGGAGGGAGUAGAACAAUUUCCAUUCUGUAAUGCUAAAAGUUUACUUCUGGGCCAUAGUUUACUUCAGUUCAGUUGAUCUCUUUUGCCUCAUGCAGUACAUUACAAUGAAUUUUAAUUUAGUGAUACGGACCAUAUGUAGUGGCAUAGUUCUUCAUUUCAGUUGAGCUAAUAUAUUUUGCUUCCUUCACUA
Molecule: long non-coding RNA, 1572 nt
Organism: Triticum aestivum (bread wheat)
Lineage: Eukaryota; Viridiplantae; Streptophyta; Magnoliopsida; Poales; Poaceae
Exons: 2
Source: RefSeq, a predicted model, not a curated record